UGCGCCCUGAGUUUGUGUUAUUAGUACAAAUAAACACAACUGCUUAUUUAGUUGAAGCUAGCGAGCUAUUUUACAGUGAGAAUGAGUUGUGUAGUUGCACCCUGACAGUGGCAAGUGGCAAGCAGGUCAUCCUGAUUGGUAUAAUUGUACGGACAGAGAUUAUCACACUACUGUCAAUGGGCUGGAAUAAGAGGAAGUUCACCAACAUGGAUCGCAUGUAACACUCGUCUGAAGAAGUGGACCAUAAUCAUAUUCUUUAAUGAUAACCACAAAAAGAAGAGAGAGAGAACCAACGAAACGUACAGCCUUGAAGGGCUCAACAGCAACAAUACAAGGACAAGAUCCUACAACAUAGAAUGUCAAAAGACUGGAGGAGACCAGCCUCGCAAAAAGCGGGAAGAGCUAGACAUCAACACCGCUGUGCUACAGGAGUGGAUUACUGAGGUCCAGCAGUGGCCUGAUGACACACUUCAGGAUCGUCAGACGGGGCAUCUCCAGAAGAAGCUUGAAGGGCUUUACCACAGUGUGAAAGAGGAAACUACUUCUACCAUUUGACAGGUAAGCCCCAACAACAGUAUGACCUCAAACAUAUUAUUAAUCAAGCAGUAAAAGUGAGUUGUGAAAGAGAAUGCAUUAGUCAUACACAUCAGACCAUGUUAAUGAUCAAAUGUAGGUAUGACCUAUGUUAUUAAUUGAUCUAAUGCAAAACAUGUAAUUAAACUGAGAAAUUAUGUGACCAUGAACCUCUUGUGAGCCACACCUCUGCAUGCCUUGUGUAAUGUUAACUACAUGACGACAAAUGCUUUGGAAAUGAGUUGCUUGCUUUGUAUUCUUUGUUUGUGCCUCUAUAGUAGCUCUAACUUAUAGUCAUGUAAUAUAUCUGAAUAUACAGUCCAUCUAAUCACCCUUUUUAUUUUGACGGCAACAAGAGGCGGCAUCUGAUUCUGAGAAAUUGAGGACAAAGCAGCCUUGACAGCUGCCAUUGUUCAACUUCACGAGCAGCAGGCAGAGUUUAGGCUCCCCACAGUGGAUGAGCAGCUCAAUACUGAUAACUUUGUGUGGCCAUGGGAGAGACUUG
This is a long non-coding RNA of Oncorhynchus tshawytscha (Chinook salmon), 1078 nucleotides long. The record is from Ensembl. NCBI's taxonomy places the organism in Eukaryota, Metazoa, Chordata, Actinopteri, Salmoniformes, Salmonidae.